AGAGCGAACGCUGGCGGCAGGCCUAACACAUGCAAGUCGAGCGCCCGUAGCAAUACGGGAGCGGCAGACGGGAUAGUAACACGUGGGAACGCGCCCUUCGGUUCGGAAUAACUCAGGGAAACUUGAGCUAAUACCGGAUACGCCCUUACGGGGAAAGAUUUAUUGCCGAAGGAACGGCCCGCGUCCGAUUAGCUAGUUGGUGAGGUAAUGGCUCACCAAGGCUCCGAUCGGUAGCUGGUCUGAGAGGAUGACCAGCAUCACUGGGACUGAGACACGGCCCAGACUCCUACGGGAGGCAGCAGUGGGGAAUAUUGGACAAUGGGCGCAAGCCUGAUCCAGCCAUGCCGCGUGGAUGAUGAAGGCCUUAGGGUUGUAAAGUCCUUUUAACGGGGAGAUAAUGACGGUACCCGUAGAAUAAGCCCCGGCUAACUUCGUGCCAGCAGCCGC
Molecule: ribosomal RNA, 447 nt
Filed under: uncultured bacterium
Lineage: Bacteria
Description: SSU rRNA
Rfam family: Bacterial small subunit ribosomal RNA
Source: RNAcentral